This 505-nucleotide ribosomal RNA is filed under the name uncultured bacterium. RNAcentral's name for it is "partial 16S ribosomal RNA". It matches the Rfam family "Bacterial small subunit ribosomal RNA", at positions 28 to 507 of the family's 1533-position model. The record is from RNAcentral.
GACGAACGCUGGCGGCGUGCCUAAUACAUGCAAGUAGAACGCACAGUUUAUACCGUAGCUUGCUACACCAUAAACUGUGAGUUGCGAACGGGUGAGUAACGCGUAGGUAACCUGCCUGGUAGCGGGGGAUAACUAUUGGAAACGAUAGCUAAUACCGCAUAAUAUUGAUUAUUGCAUGAUAAUUGAUUGAAAGAUGCUAUUGCAUCACUACCAGAUGGACCUGCGUUGUAUUAGCUAGUAGGUGAGGUAACGGCUCACCUAGGCGACGAUACAUAGCCGACCUGAGAGGGUGAUCGGCCACACUGGGACUGAGACACGGCCCAGACUCCUACGGGAGGCAGCAGUAGGGAAUCUUCGGCAAUGGACGAAAGUCUGACCGAGCAACGCUGCGUGAGUGAAGAAGGUUUUCGGAUCGUAAAGCUCUGUUGUAAGAGAAGAACGGGUGUGAGAGUGGAAAGUUCACACUGUGACGGUAUCUUACCAGAAAGGGACGGCUAACUACGUG